GGGGAUUUAGCUCAGCGGUAGAGCGCUUGCCUAGAAAGCACAAGGCCCUGGGUUCGGGCCUUGAACACUCU
RNAcentral lists this transfer RNA (71 nucleotides) under Rattus norvegicus (Norway rat). It matches the Rfam family "tRNA". From Rfam's summary of the family: Transfer RNA (tRNA) molecules are approximately 80 nucleotides in length. Their secondary structure includes four short double-helical elements and three loops (D, anti-codon, and T loops). Lineage: Eukaryota; Metazoa; Chordata; Mammalia; Rodentia; Muridae. The record is from Rfam by way of RNAcentral.